UUUAAUUGUUAAAUUUAGGCAGAAUGCUUCCUGUCCUAGUCCCAGAGCCCGUUAAAGGUAAACCCACUGGGGCUUGCUGGAGGAGAAGAGGAAAGUUUGUUCCAGAAAGAGCUGUAUGAGGGAU
This 124-nucleotide small nucleolar RNA is filed under the name Carlito syrichta (Philippine tarsier). Its description in RNAcentral is "Small nucleolar RNA SNORD22 (ENSTSYG00000024395.2)". It matches the Rfam family "Small nucleolar RNA SNORD22". From Rfam's summary of the family: U22 is a member of the C/D class of snoRNA which contain the C (UGAUGA) and D (CUGA) box motifs. U22 is encoded within the U22 snoRNA host gene (UHG) in mammals and has also been identified in Xenopus. The record is from Rfam by way of RNAcentral. Lineage: Eukaryota; Metazoa; Chordata; Mammalia; Primates; Tarsiidae.